This 253-nucleotide ribosomal RNA is filed under the name uncultured bacterium. Its description in RNAcentral is "partial 16S ribosomal RNA". It matches the Rfam family "Bacterial small subunit ribosomal RNA", at positions 524 to 776 of the family's 1533-position model. The record is from RNAcentral.
UACGUAGGGUGCAAGCGUUGUCCGGAAUUAUUGGGCGUAAAGAGCUCGUAGGCGGUUUGUCGCGUCGGCUGUGAAAACCUAGGGCUCAACCCUGGGCCUGCAGCCGAUACGGGCAAGCUAGAGUUCGGUAGGGGAGACUGGAAUUCCUGGUGUAGCGGUGAAAUGCGCAGAUAUCAGGAGGAACACCGGUGGCGAAGGCGGGUCUCUGGGCCGAUACUGACGCUGAGGUGCGAAAGCGUGGGGAGCAAACAGG